GUGUUAGCUGCCCCAGCACAUGUACUAAAAUUGGAGCGAUGCAGAGAAGAUUAGCACGGCCUCUGCGCAAGGAAAACGCGCAAAUUCGUGAAGCAUCCCUUAUUAAA
Eptesicus fuscus (big brown bat) is the source of this 107-nucleotide small nuclear RNA. Lineage: Eukaryota; Metazoa; Chordata; Mammalia; Chiroptera; Vespertilionidae. The record is from RefSeq and is a predicted model, not a curated record.